Molecule: non-coding RNA, 21 nt
Filed under: Arabidopsis thaliana (thale cress)
Lineage: Eukaryota; Viridiplantae; Streptophyta; Magnoliopsida; Brassicales; Brassicaceae
Source: RNAcentral
UUGGAGAUGCCCUAAGAAGAC